Molecule: ribosomal RNA, 253 nt
Filed under: uncultured bacterium
Lineage: Bacteria
Description: partial 16S ribosomal RNA
Rfam family: Bacterial small subunit ribosomal RNA
Source: RNAcentral
CACGUAGGGCGCGAGCGUUGUCCGGAAUUAUUGGGCGUAAAGAGCUCGUAGGCGGUCUGUCGCGUCGGCUGUGAAAACUCGGGGCUCAACUCCGAGCUUGCAGUCGAUACGGGCAGGCUAGAGUUCGGCAGGGGAGACUGGAAUUCCUGGUGUAGCGGUGAAAUGCGCAGAUAUCAGGAGGAACACCGGUGGCGAAGGCGGGUCUCUGGGCCGAUACUGACGCUGAGGAGCGAAAGCGUGGGGAGCGAACAGG